CUGCUGGCUUAGUGGAUAGAUCUGAUGUAGCGCUAUUUCCUUGUCUCUUAACGACGUCUAAAUGGACCGCCUAGGUUAGCAGUUAUCUCCGUGAGUGUGCAUCUCUCCGUCUGUCCACCAUUUUUGAUCCUUUUUUACUUCCAAAGACGCCUUUGUUCCUCCUCCUAUUCGCCUUCAAAGAUGUGGCCCCAAUUGCGUCAGGCGGGGACCCGGAAAACGGCCAAGCCGUCUGCGACUCACCGAGCCGCGAGGCCGAUCAAGGCGGCCGGCGACUUGGCGAGGCCGCGUCGGUCGCUGUCGCCAGAUGCGUCGACUCGAGCGAGGUCAAUCAGGGUUCAAGCGCCGUUCGAUCCCCGGAGAAGAGGAAAUCGUGAACAAAGAGACCCAAACAUCUAUUUGCUGGGCUAUUGAGAGUUUGCAGGGACAUGGCGACUGUUCAUGAAG
Molecule: long non-coding RNA, 444 nt
Organism: Gasterosteus aculeatus aculeatus (three-spined stickleback)
Lineage: Eukaryota; Metazoa; Chordata; Actinopteri; Perciformes; Gasterosteidae
Source: Ensembl